CCUCGUGGCCCACGUGAGCCACUGGCCGCCGCGGGAUUGGUUGUCCGGCGAGGGCCGCACUGGACUGUGGGGCGCCGCGGCGCAGCGAAGCGGAGGCGGUUGGGAGGCGGGAAGUGAGUUUUGUUGGGGAGCCGAAGGCCGAGAGCCAGCUGCCUUCAGCGUCUGCAGGCUGGGGCAAACGUACUGAGAGCUUAGGGCGCAGGAGUUUUAGGACUCCGGAAAGCGGGCUGCGGACUCCUGCAUGGAUCUUUGGUUUGAGCCCUGGGUCUGGCCUUAUUCGUGUUUCCCCGCCAGGACGGUUUCUCGCCGUUUUCCCCUGAAGUUGGUGGGGUUUGGACCUUAUUAGUUUUAAGGGUCCGCUGUGUGUAAGCAUUGGUUGUCCUGCGCAGGGCGCUGUUAGGUAGCUGGGGGAAGGAGGGCUAAGAGAUGCGUGAGGUAUGGUCCUUACGUGGAAUGUUGGAGAUAAACCUAGUUUUCUUGGAUGUGCAAAGAGGGUCUUGGGCUACUGUUACAUAAUACAAGGAGGUGAAAUGCAAUGAUGCGAUGAUGAGCGAAGUAUAGUCUGACCUGGUAUUGCCAUUGCUUCAGUGUUGGCUUUGACCAGGGGAUGAUCCCUUAAUCUUCUCUCUGAGCUGAUUCUGGUUGUGGUUUUUCUACACUGGUGAAAAACCUGACUUUGAUAUCUUCCUGGAGGACUACGCUGUUUCAAUCCUAAAUCUGGUUCAGUUCCCUUACUGACUUAUACUAUAUUAAAAAUGUUUGGGGGCUGGCCCCGUGGCCGAGUGGUUAAGUUCGCGCGCUCCGCUGCAGGCGGCCCAGUGUUUCGUUAGUUCGAAUCCUGGGCGCGGACAUGGCACUGCUCAUCAGACCACGCUGAGGCGGCGUCCCACAUGCCACAACUAGAAGAACCCACAAUGAGGAAUACACAACUAUGUACCGGGGGGCUUUGGGGAGAAAAAGG
RNAcentral lists this long non-coding RNA (961 nucleotides) under Equus asinus (donkey). RNAcentral's name for it is "lncRNA (ENSEASG00005034176.1)". The stretch from base 539 to 635 matches the Rfam family "Z30 small nucleolar RNA". Lineage: Eukaryota; Metazoa; Chordata; Mammalia; Perissodactyla; Equidae. The record is from RNAcentral.